Molecule: long non-coding RNA, 1706 nt
Organism: Centrocercus urophasianus (Greater sage-grouse)
Lineage: Eukaryota; Metazoa; Chordata; Aves; Galliformes; Phasianidae
Exons: 2
Source: RefSeq, a predicted model, not a curated record
UUUUUUUUUUUUUUUUUUUUUUUUUUUAAAGAAACAUAUAAAGAACUCUUAACAAGAAGUAUAAAAAUCUCCUUGGUGCCAACCAGACGAGGCUCAUACAGAAGGAGAGGCCACAGCUACCGCUGGGGCUUGGGAACAUAGUCUGCCCCAGGCCUGUACUACUGCCCGAGGGCUGAGAACCUGCCUGUGACUGUGCAUCUCUAUGACCUGAGGAGCGCUGGAGCCAAGCUGCUGCCAGCUCUUAGCGAACAAAAAACUCUCACCGCCUUCAAGCCCAUAGGAACAGUGAUCCUGCUUGAUUUCCACCCACGUUGCAAUAGCAAUCUUUUACAACGUGCAAACAAACACCAAUGGGACCGCAUUUCUGCACGAUGCGGCUUCACCCCAUCACAACGCAAACAUGAAGUUAACCUUGUAACUGUUUGACAAACCUGAGAACUUAACCCUUGAAACCCAGAGGGGGCAAAGGCAGAACUAAGGCGUGCUGCCUUCCUCUCACUGCAGGAUUACUGCUCCAGCGUGAGCCUUAGCUUGAUGUUCAUGGCUGCCAGCUCUGCCAAGAAGUACCGGAAGACGUGGGGCACGGGGAUGACCUGGAUGGUGUCCAUCCUGCCACAGAGCAUGCAGGAAUACCUCCUGUUGCUUGCUACAGAGGAAGGUGGUGGGCGCUGGAGCAGAGGAGAUAACAUGCUGCCGCAGCUCGUGCAAACAUAGGCUUCUGAGCCAUCGGAGCAGCUGAACAGGCGGUCGUGCAGCAGGAAGGAGGUGCCAUGAGCCAACAGCGCAUCACGCUCCAUCUCACCAAAGCGAAUCCCCCCUUCCACGUUCCUCCCCUUGACGGGCUGGUUGGUGACAGAAUCCCGGGGUCCUGUAGUCCUCACCUGGAACUUGUCUGAGACCAUGUGGCGCAGGCGCUGGUAGUACACGACUCCCACAAAGAUGUCUGCCUCCAGCUCCACGCCGCUGAUUCCGCUGUACAUCUUUUCUGUCCCAAAGAAGUUAUAGCCCGCGCUCACCAAAGUCUCACCAAAGUACUUCAAGGCGGAGUUUUUUUCCGUGAAGGUGAAGGGAGUGGCAUCGUAGUAGGCGCCGUGCAGCGCUGCUGACUUCCCCGCCAUGCUCUCAAUUAACAUCCCGAUGGUCAUACGGGAGGGGAACCCAUGGGGGUUGAAGAGGAUGUCUGGAACCAUCCCAUUCUCCGUGAAUGGCAUGUCUUCAACAGGCCAGAGCUGGCUCAGGAUGCCCUUCUGCCCAUGGCGGCUGGCAAAUUUGUCUCCAACAGUUGGGUUUCGAGGAACUCUCACAGUGAUGCAAGCCUUCUUGAAUUUCCCAGUGCCACGGUCAUUACUGCACAGCUUGAUGUUGUCCACAAUGCCAACUUCUUUAUUCCUGCGUAGGUGGAAAAACAUUCACAGCAAAGGUAUCAGAUAUGCUCAUGACUUUGAAGUGAAACAAAGAAACCAACCCACUUUUAAAUCCAAUGAAGAGCUGGGGAUCACCACUUUUUUUGAAGAAUGUCAUUCAGGGAAAUCAGACUGCACAAGAAUUAGAGCACAGCAGUCAAACAAAGGUAUCACCCAAGUGCCAUUUGUUUGCUGUUUCUAAUGCUAGCAGCACAACUGCAACUUCCAUGUGAUGAGGUAAUGUGUCACCCAUGAUAAUAAAGUCAAAAUUAUUUAAACCUGGUUCAUCAGUACUACAGCCAA